GUCGCCGUCGUGGAAGCCUUCGAAUUUGGAGUCAGCCGCACCUCCAUUGCCACCUCAACAAGCUUCUGUUUUUGGGUUCGACCUCGAUCUGCACCAAGCUCGAAAAAUUUCGGCUCUGUCAACCCAUUAUUGCUCUAAAUCACGCAACAAAUGCGUCCAUUGUUCUGGUCGUACGAGCGCAAAGUUUUUCUGGUUCGUCUUCUUCCCAUUUUUUGGAAAAAUGGUUCAUGGGUUUUAAUGUUAUUGCAUAUUCCAUUCAAAUUAUGAUUUGGGUGUCUCGGAUUUUAAAUUUUAAAUUUUGGCAUGGCUUCUGACUCUAUAUUGUUGGUUGCUUGUAGGUUAUGUCCCAGACUUCAAAUUUUACAAAGUCGAAGCGAUUAUGAGGUGCGGAAACAAUUCACUCAUCUGUUUGGUUCUUAAUUUUGUUUAGGUUGAUUGUUUAUAGCUCUGCAUGUCUGCUGUGUUUUUUUCUUCUAUUACUUUUGUGUGUGGAAUACAUGAGGUUAUGGGUUUUAAUUUCAUCUAAUUAUUUCUUUAUCUUUACUAUGAUUAUGGGACGAGCUAGGCCCUGGCGAGUUUCACAUGUUUCUUCGAUAAGAACUGUUGAAUCUUAAACACAGCUUACUGCAUAUUAAUUGGCAUUGCAUUUUGCAUUGGCAUAAUAAAAUUAGGAAAACAACAAAUUGAUGUUUCAAAUUUUGUUGUUUGGAUAGUAGGAAGAAUAGUUACCUGUUUCUAAGCCUGUGUAGUUAUCUAAGCACUAUCCCAUCUUCUUCUGCAGUUGCCUUUAAUCCUUUUUACACACUCAAAUCCAUUUGCAUAUAUUGAACACAUAGUCACAACUGAUUUGGAUUGGAGUUCAAACACGAUAAACAUUAAAGGUUAAUGAAAUUCUAAUCUAGAGUGUCAUUGAAGUCACUGGACCUAAAUUUUGAUUGUGGUGUAGCCUGUUGUGACAUGUCAAAAGAUCAAUUAGUAGUUGUUAGUUGUACCACUAUACAUUUCAUUUCUGGAAUUUAAUGAAAAUUAUUUGUGAUUAUUGCUUGGAAUUAUAGACAAGAUUUUGAAAAGUUAAUUCCUUUUAUUGCUUCUUGUUCGUCAUUGCAAAUGCUCAUAAAGGAUAUAAGGUGAUGGGUACAAUGUUAGUAAUAAAAGGUUAGUUUGUUAACAGAUUGCUUGAACAAUUGAAUAAUGUUGCAACUCUCCUGCAUAUUCCUGAUGUUCUUUCCUCUUGUUUUUUCGUCAUGCCAUACUUCGUUUUUUGGUUCAUCUGUAAGUUUCUACUGAAUCUUUGAACCAGUUUGGGCAGUUGGUUGUUGAUCUUGCCACCAAAGAACUAUUGCAUUAUACUGACAAGUCAGUGACUUUUGUAUGUACACGAUGCAAUUACUAUCCCAAAAUUGUUCAUUAAGUUGGUGCUUGAUGAUCUCAAUUCUUUGUUUUAUGAGUUUUGCUCCAGGCCACAUUAUGUAAGGGUUAUCUAUUUUCUAAAUGCACGUGAGUGAUUUGAUCAAUUGUGGUCUACAUGUAUUUGCUCCCACAUAUUUUACUGCCAUUCAAGAAGUCUCCAAUCAUCGAGAAGGUAGAGGUUGGUCUUUUUCUUUACUGGCAUUAUAGUUGUGGAUUGGUGUGCACUUAGGAUCAAAUUCUGGCUCUAAAAAUAUUAUCUCACUUGAUUUGUAAUUAUUGAGAACAAAUUUGGCCUCAACACAGGCUAUUUUCUUUUAUGCCUUUUAAGUAAAUAUUCAUGAAUCUUUCACAGUGGGUGAAUCAUUUAUUUUCUUGCUAGGCGAGAUACUAGAAGGAUUUGGUUGCUUACAUGGUGCUUAUAUUUGUAUGAAUUGAUUGUAGAACUAAAUUUUAGAAGCAUGUUUUAGCUCUGCCCUUAGUUUAAUAAUUGGUAUCUUGGAUGUGCAUGUAAAACCUGCCGAAUAAUUUAUUAAUGAUGGUAUCACUAUUUGGUUUGAUUUUGAAAAUUUGAAUUUAUGUUUUUUUUUUAAUAUUUAACCUAUUUGGCACAAUAACAAAAUUGUGCAAACAUGGCUUGGAAAAGUCAUCUAACACAGGUGUCAAAACAAAGGCACAAAUACACCGGAUUGGUACUUAACUGUUUGAGCACAAAAAGUCAUAUUGUGCCCUUUCAUCAAAUGUGACGCCCAUAAAGGGCACAUACAAUAUAAUAGUAGUUGCACUUUUGCCAUUGGUCUAUAGGCACAUAUGUUGGUGCCCUUUGGCCUCAAAGGGCAUAAAUAAUUUAUAGUGCGUAGUAUUGUAGUGUUAUGUCGCGCACAAGUUGACCAAUUACUAAGUUAACUAUGUUUUUAUUGUGAAUGUGGGCAUCUCAACUCACAACCGAGCUCGGUUGGAUGUGUAGAAUAGAUGUGGUGGUGGUGGUAAUGUGCUGUUGACUUUGCACCUGACCAACUGCGGUCGAUGAAAGAACACCUCUCGCCCUAGGGUCCUAGAACCUGAAAAUAAGGCUGCUUAAUUCACUGCGAAGUUCAUGAUCUUUUGCACCAAUUUCGACGACUUCAACUAUAUUCAUGAGUAUAUAAGUGCGUCGAAUCGAUAUCAGGCUGUAUGGGAAAAGAUACUUAAAAUAGAUGAAUGUCUUUAUGGUGAAUGUGGUUCGGCUGUUAAGAUGUCAUACUAUGAAGUGCACAUGGAAGUAACCAAUCUUAGAACACCUCUUUUUACUGGAGAGGUUUUUUACGUUAAGCGUUUUGAGUUGUUUAUUGAGUUGAAAGGGGCCUCUUAUGUUGCAAAACCAUUUCUUUUUAUAGUGGUGGGUUUCAUGGUAACAAGGUUUGCCGAGCUAGAGUCCUGGUAGGACUAUACCUACUUAGCACUCACCUGGAUAUCCUUUGAAUUUCUCUCUUUAAACCCCUUUUUAGCUAAAACACAAUCUCUAUCUAAUCUUGGCUUCUUUGACUUGAACUAAGAUUCUGAACCUAGUCUCCUUAUAUACUUAAUUCAUUCUUAUUUGAUCAGCUAUAGGUUUCGAUUCCUGGAAUAAUUCAAAUUUUACCAAAACCCAUUUUGAUCCAUAAUAGCCAUAAUUCAACUAGGACUUGACCAAGCCACGUCUAAGUCUGAUCCCUUAGUAGUCCCUCUUCCAUCAGAAACCAGUCAAAUCAAUGCUCUUCUGGGCUGGAACCUGAUAGGAGCAUAUUUAUGCGACUUAGUUAGCUUGUUCUUGUGCAUUUAUGUUGUUAUUUCUUAGUUAAUUAUGUAUUUUAAGCUAUUUUCGUGUGUUGUAGGUCCUAAUAACAAAGUUGGCAAGAAAGUGCAUUUUGGUGCAUUUUUGAGCAUUUUUUAGCCAAUAUUGCAUAGUGCAAGCAUGGAGAUGGAUGUUUUUGAAGAUUAAAAGACUAGAAAUCAGCAUAUGUGUGUGUAAGUUGUGGAGCCAAAAAUAUUCUCAAGGCGACAUGUGGAUUUUUUGACAAAAAUGACAAAAAUACCCUUGCAGUACAACGAGGUUCCUACGCGCAAGCAGCGGGCAACCCUCUUUCAACCAAGACAGAAGUGCCCAAAAUAGGUAACAAUUUAAAGUCCAUCUCAUCAAAUCCUUUCUACAAGGUAAUUCCCAAACACAUUCCUUUUAAAUUAUGUUAAUUGGCUAAUUAAUGGGUUUAUUGCCUAAUUAACCCAUUAAUUGUCAAUUAAACCAUCCAUUAUAUCCAAAUAACCACAAAACACAUCCAAUUCAACCCAAAAACACCACAUGGCCGGCUAUCCCCAUUCAAAACCUAAUGCACCUCCCUUUUCCUAACCUUUUUCACUUUUCUCCAUUUUAUUAUCCCAUUUAUACAAAUAAUCAAUUUUGUAACUCCUAAUUAAACCUAAAUUAAACCCAAAAAACCCUAGCCACCUCCUAUCCCUAUAAAUAUACUCUCAUUCUCACCAAAAAAAGCCAAUUCCAACACUUUGGCAAAAAUCCAAAAUACUCUAAAUACUAUUUCUCUCUAAAAUUCUAACUUUGGCAUAAGAGGUUCUUCGGCCAAAGCCCCCCCCAUUCAUCGUGGGCGCGUGAGGCUUUUGGCCUUAACCUAAGGUGCUAGUUGUUUUGUAGGUGCAAAAUAGUCCAAGAUCGAGGAGGAGAAAAUUUGCAUCCACAAAUUGGUGCUUUCAUUGAGAGUUGAAAUCCAUACUCGUAGAAGACUCUCGCACAAAAAGGUUUUUUCUUUAUUUUCUAGUCCAUUUGAAUAUUUUUCAUACGUUCUUAUUAUUAGAAUUUUUUACUUGCAAAGGAUCUUUUAUAAAACGUAUAAGCAAAAUAUAAUGGCUAGAAAUUUAGAAAAUUCCACAAGUGAAAAUUCUAAUGUUCAAGAAAUGGGAUUGCGGAGAUCUGUGAGGCUAAAUGCGACAAUAAGUGGAGCAGCACCACCACCACGAGUUUCCACCAUGGGAACCACCACGGUGGCUACCUCGGUAGCCACCCGUGGCGAGGUCCAUGGUGCCUUCAUCACGGCUCGAGCCGUGCCAUCCAAGGCUCACGGCACCAAGGCCAUUAUCCAAGUCGUGCCAUCCAAGUUUGCACAGGCCCGGGCCCAAGCCUCACAUUCGCAUGCAUCACAUACUAAGCAGCCUGCUCCCACCAAGCAACCUGCUCUCGCGGCCCAACCUGCUCCCGCCAAGCAACCUGCUUUCGUGACCCAGCCUGCUCCCGACGAGCAACCCACUCUCGACGAGCAGCCCAUUCUCACGGCCCAACCUGCUCUUGCCGAGCAGCCUGCUCUCUUGACCCAACCUGCUCCUGACAAGCAGCCCACUCCCGUGGCCUAGCAGCUCCAGUCGAGCAGCCCACUCUCACGGCCUAGCCUGCUCCCGUGGCUUUCCAAGCAGCCCAAGUCGGCCCAAGACUAUCUCAACCAUCCGGACCUACCAUCGAGCCGGGGGCAUUCUUACCACAUUUUUUUGCGGAUUUGACAUUUCCCAACUCAAAUCUCGCGCUCGGAGUCUACCACCAUUCCACUGCCCAAGGAGGCACAUUCCUUCCAAGCUCUUCCAAUCCAAAUGGCAAACAACACUUGUCUUGACAAGUCAUAGAGUUGACGAGCCCCCUUGCAUAACAGACAGCCUUGGUGAAUCAACUUUUGCAACGCAUCGGGAUCCAACGUGCCCCGGACGAGGUAUCCCGAAGUAGGACAAGGGCAGACAGACCUUUCCAGUAGCGUCCCAGCAAGCGGCCACUCGACCAGCCACGAGCAGAACGUUUGGGAAGUAUACAUUCCCAUCUUAGCGCGCGGAGGAGCAUGCACUCUCGACUAGGCCCAUGGAUGAACAUACAUUCACGGUUGGGGUCGUACUCUGAUAGUCAACAUGAGCAACCUUCCGGGCAAAGUGUCCAUUCGGAGCUAAGCCCACAAGGAGCAUCCUCCACCUCACAUCAAAGUAGGCAGCACGACAGACGGAGAGAAGUAGUCACUCAAUCCAGCUCAAGUUCAACCAACAGCCUGCGAAGAACUCGCUCGCCUGCUAAGAACGCACCAUAUGCACUGUAUCCGCGGCAUAGACGAGCCAAACACCUGGAAGAGCAGCCUAGACCAGCAAGUCAUGGCUGAAGGCAGCCGAGAGCUCAGCUACCCCAACAAAGGCAAAUUCAGGAAGAAGUAGAGAGACUUUUGACCAAGCGAUUGCAUGAUUUCCAACGUAACGAGGUCACUGACGAGGCACUUCGACGGAACAUGAUCAACAUAAGCAGGUCACCCUUCACGGAUGAGAUCAAGCAGGCAGAGCCUUCAUGCGAGUUCAGCAUGCCACAUUUCACAUCUUUCAAAGGGGAUGAAGACCCGGAGAGACACAUAAAGCGCUACCGAAGCGCAAUGAUCCUUUAUCGAAACAACGAUGAUCUCAUGUGUAAGAUAUUCACCACCACUCUACAAGGCGAGGUGCAAGAUUAGUUCUACACCCUGCCGCCACAAUCCAUCCGGAAUUUCUACGAACUUUCUUUGGUUUUCACCAAAGAAUAUUCAUCCUAUCGCUCGAUCAAAAAGAAGUCUGACCAUUUGUUCGACGUCAAGAAAAACCCAAAGGAGUCGCUUUGCGACUAUGUGAGGAGAUUCAAAGUAGAGAAGGCAAAAAUAGUCCGAUGCAACGACUCGAUAGCUAGAGCAGCCUUCUAAAAAGGACUUCCAGCAGACCACCCGCUAUUCGAAAAAUUGAUCAUGAAAGAAGAUCUAACUCUGGCAGACUUUUUUGCUUUGGUAGAGAAGCCUGCACUUUGGGAUGAGGCUCGCCAAUGCACAUUCAAGGACUUGAAGAAGUACCCGACAUCACCUCCAUAGAAGCAGCGAAGGACUUAUUCACAUGUUUGACGGUAUCUAAAGUAGCAAUAAGCUCUACCAUCAUGCGAGAAAAGAUGGGGGCCCGACUACCUGUAUUCUACAGUUACCUGUAUUCUACAGUUCAAAAGCUCUCCUUGAUGAUAUUAAAAAUUCAAAAGCUAACUUUGGCGAUAGUUGUUGUAACCCGGAAGCACAAGUUUUACUUUCAAAUGCAUGCAGUCAUCCUUAUGACGUACUAUUCUACCCAAUCCAGACGCGCGACGAUAAAGGCAUAGACCCCGGCGGAUGUAAAGUUUUAUGAUGAACGCAACACUGGAAGGACACACUCAGAAGCAAGUUUUGUCCUCGUCACCCUAAAAGAUUCUACAUAGGAGCAACAUGUACCGGCAUUUGAGUACCACUUCUUGUUGCGCACCACACGGCCCUAGCCGACCCUUGCUCAAUGAUUCAACUCUAGAGUGGCCCAAUACCGGCAGUUGAGCAUCUCCUGCUGCGUAUGACAUGGCCCCAUCUCCACAGCUCCCUACUGUGCCUUCACGCCGAGCCUAGGUGACGCAACAGAACGGCCCAAUGAUGCCUCAGAAGUAGCCGAGCACACUCCAGUCGCACCUACUCCACCUGAUGGAGACUUCUGGCAUUUGCAUGUCGACGGCGCAGAAAAGCCCUCAUCACUGCCUGCAGAGAAAGAUCCAAAAAGACGAAUCUCAUCUGGGAAGGUCUGUACAAGAUCAGCAGAGUAGGCGACAAGAGUAAUUACACCCUCGCCACCAUGAAACGGCAAAAAGAUCGAAAAACAGUGGAUGGCCUACAAUAUGAAGAAGUACCAUGUGUGACCUCCCGCUACAUCAAAACGCGAAGACUUAAGAAGCUCGACGGGCACCACCUCACAAGCUGAUGACUAUCCAGUUGUUAUGCAGUUCCUACCUUACAGCUAAAGUUCUCGUUCGUUUCACUUGUUUUUCAAUUAGGAAUUAAGAAGUAAUCACAACUUGGCUUGGCUGCAUGCUUACAACAACUAAUCACCUUUGCACUUCAAAAGAAGACUGCGCCCUUCUUAGGGACUCAUCGCAGGAAUUGCGCCUCCCGAGGGACCAACCAUGCUCUUCAGUAUGAGAGGGUAAACUAAUUCCCCGACACCCAUAUGGGUUAGCUCUCCAAGAUGGGAGGAUAAACUUUACAUUCCGAAUAUCCAGAUGUGGAUGAGCCUGGCUGCCCUAGUAUAACUAGAUGCACGAUGGCUUGCGCCGGGAUUCCUAGAAGUAGCCACAAUGGUCUUUUUCAAGGCUUAGCUAAUUGAAGGAUUUUGGGUCUCUUGGCCUAAUCCGUUGGAAACCGGGCCCUAGAUACGGAGGGGGCACAUUAUGCAGUACGCCUUACAGACGGCUGCCCUGGAACCCUAAAGCUGCUAUCGAGUGCACUAAGGUAGCCUACGGAUUCCGGAAGACUGUCUACGGCUUGCCCUUCGAGCAGUAAAGCCGCACUAGACUUUUACAACCGCACAUUCUUGUGAAAGGUUAAACAAGCUAGCACCCAUAUACGAAGUUUUAUCCACUGCCGACAUGCUACGUAGUCGAUAAGCUUCACCUCUGCCAAACGCGGAACAACCUACACCAAGUCCUAAAGUGUUGUGAUACUUGCUACGCAACCUACGGAAUUGGAGAAAGUCAAGUUAACAGCCAGGUGGUUAUGCGGACUUGUCUGCUUUUGUAAGUAAGGCAUCCGACUGCCAACCCUAUGGCUAACAACUUUGCAAAGUUCUACACCAACACCUACGGCUGCAUAGGCUACGCGGGCUUGUCUGCUUAUAAAAAAGUAGCAUGCCUGCUACUGGUCUAUCAAGUUUAAAGGUUAGGGCAUGAACAAAAGAAGCGAAGAUGAAGAAAAGCGAAGGAAAACAUAUUUAUUAACAACUAGCAAAGGCCCAAUGAGUUCAAGCAAAACAAGAGCUACAAGAAAAAACAAAUAAAAUCCUAAAGGCUAUCUAAAAGACUAUAGCAGCUUGGACAUCCCACGACUACUCGGUCGCCACACCUUCAGCAGCCACGACGCUCUUAGCAGCGGUAUCAUCUGACGCUUCACCCCCGGCUGCCCUAGCCUGGGCACUAACUUCUCCAACUACUUCACCAAUGGAAGCCUCAAAAGUAAAAUCAAGCAAGUCUUCUGGAGAAAUAAAGAAGGUCUCAAAACCCCGAGCCUAGCCUUUUCACCUUUCAGUUGCUUAUCCUCCUUGAGCAGACCAAUAUGGAUGCUCUGCAGCUCAUCCACUUCCUUCUUCAGACUUUCGUUGAUCUUCAGUAUGCCUUGAAGUUCCAACACUUGGGGUUCAAGCCUAUCGAUGAUUCUCUUGAAAUGGAUCACUUAGUUAUAAGCAGCAAUCAACUCUUCAUUCUUUAUAGCAGAACGAAGCUCAGAAAUGACAUGCUUAAGAUCUUGAAUCUAAGGUAUGUGACAUCCGAUCUUCUUCUCUGCACUUUCAUGCUUAACUUGGAUCGCGUCAAGCCUAGUCUUCAAGUCAACGAUCUCUUGGCGAGCGGUCUCAAGCUGCAAAGAAGUGGGGGCAGAAAUAUUAAACCCUUUCAAAGUAAUGAGCUCAGAAUCUGCCAUAGUAUUUGCCAUCUCCUUAGCAGCCUUGUUAUAUCUGCAUCAUAGUAAGCAAAGCAGUUCUUCUAUAUUGGGUCGUAUGCUUCACAAACAAGCUUGAGCAAACACCUUUCUGACGCCAUCAACAAACUUGGCACAAGCGUCCAUGUUUUCAAGAGAUCUGGUUUCAAAAGCACAUAGAUCUCAGCAGCCUCCCCAGAAGCAGGCUUAGUGGAUUUCUCACAGCUGCCUACGCGAGCAGUCUCCUCAUUCCCAGUAGGCGAAUCAGUCUCAGCAGCAUAAGGAAUGGGCCUUGGCACCACUUUAGCAACAGAGUCCACCUUAUCGCUCUUCAUAAUAGCAAGCCUCUCCAAUGGUGAACCAGACUUAGCUCCCAACAGACGUCUUGGUACAAAAUUUGGUACUAGGGGCAUGACAGGACCUUUAUGCCGAACAAUCCUAUUAGCAAUCGUACUAGCCAUUCUUGACAUGGCAUGUGCCACAUGCUCAGAUCUAGCAGCCUUAUUUUUCGUCCCCUUGGAAAAAGUCAAGUUAAUCACAAGCCUGAAGGCAGUCGACGAACCCGCGCGAGUGAAAGAAGUCUUUGGUUUUUCUCAGCCGGCUUCUUUUGAGCAGGCAGGGAAUAUUCUUUUUUCCACCUUCACUUGUAGCAGGAUCCACAACAGUGAUUGGACGAGCCAAUGCAUCCGCCUUGAUCCUAUUCACUUCGUAUUUUGGGAGCAGCCCAUGUUUCUCCUGACGAAGAGAGUUAAAGUAGCCAACGUCAUUCGUGGUACCUAGCAGGGGAGUUAAACCCAACAUUCCAGCAGCUCAUGAGGCCUGCAACCUCUUCAUUUCUCUCAAUCACCGGCCUAACUCGCAUCGUGUCCAAAAGCCUAAAAGGACAUGAGCCAUGUGACUCGCCUAGUACUGCGCCCCAGCGCCACAAUCCGCAGCCCCAGCCUCACAAGCUGCCCUUGGUUCUAGCCAAGUCAAGCAACUUAAAGCAGUGGUCCCUACCAUAAUACCUCAUCGGCCCAUGCCGAGCUGACUCCUGGCCCAUGCCAGCCGACGUGCCGCACCACCCCGACGGCUGCCCCGCGGUAGCACCAUCCAAGAAGAAGACAAGGAAAAUUAAUUUUUUCUUACCUCAGUGUGGCACGAAGAAGACAAAGAAAGCAACGAAAGACGGUCAUUCGCACAGGCAAGAUGUAAAAGAUUGCUAGAGGAGGGGGAACAAAUAUCCUCUAAGCUAUAUCUCUCUUGUAGGGUAGAAUAAAUCACUCUCCAAAGUUAAUUUAAUAACCCACUUAAGGUGGACUUAAAUAGGCUUUGAGAGAAAUUUAUUUCCUUUUCCUAGAAGGAUCUAAUUUCCUAUUAAAGAGAGAAUCUACAUCAAAAUAGGAAGCAGCCCUAAGUUUCCUAAAGCAAGAAGAUCUAUACACCUGCUGCCCUUUUCUGUGAGCAGCCUAACAGGUGUGGGGGCAUUUGUGGAGCCAAAAAUAUUCUCAAGGCGACACGUGGAUUUUUGGACAAAAGGACAAAAAUACCCUUGCAGUACAACGAGGUUCCUACGCACAAGCAGCGGGCAACCCCCUUUCAACCAAGACAGAAGUACCCAAAAUAGGUAACAAUUCAAAGUCCAUCUCAUCAAAUCCUUUCUACAAGGUAAUUCCCAAACACAUUCCUUUUAAAUUAUAUUAAUUGGCUAAUUAAUGGGUUUAUUGCCUAAUUAACCCAUUAAUUGUCAAUUAAACCAUCCAUUAUAUCCAAAUAACCACAAAAUACAUCCAAUUCAACCCAAAAACACCACAUGGCCGGCUAUUGAUAGACGCAUAUUUAUGCGACUUAGUUAACUAGUUUUCUUGCAUUUACGUUAUUAGUUCUUAGUUAUUUUAGUACUUUAAGCUAUUUUCGUGUGUUUGUAGGUCCAAAGGGCUAAGGUAGCAAGAAAGUGCAUUUUGGUGCAUUUUGGAGCAGUUUUGAGCUUGGAAUGGAUUACAUAUGAUAUGAGCAAGAUGGAUGGACGAAUUUGAAGUCAAAUGAGGAUAGAAACAUGCUAAAAAUGUGGUGAAACAAAUACAAAGUGCAAGAAGAGAUAAAUUUCUAGAAGGAUUGGCCAAAACUUCACUAAAAACCAUGCAUACCUCAUAAAAUUCAUCAAUGCCGUGGCCUUCCCUUUGUUUCACUUCCACCAGAUUUUUUAGUGAUGAUGCAAUGCCUAUCUCACCAUGACAUGUGAGUGGAUGAUGCAAUGCUUAAAUCACCAUGACAUGUGAGUGGAUGAUGCAAUGCUUAAAUCACCAUGACAUGUGAAUGGAUGACUCAAUACCUAACCCACCAACAAUUCCCACUCUUUGCCAUGCUCACCUACUCAAUUCCACCAAAAUUUUGUGUUAAACAAGUCCAUCCUUUUCCUAUAAAUACCAUGGUAGCAACCUCAUUCAAAUCAUCAAAAAAUUAACCAUUCUCCAAGCCUUUCCUUGCCUCUCCUACAUAUCUAAACCCCUUCCCAUCCAUUCCUCAAAAUAACCAACCCUUCAACAUCAUUCCAACCUUGUUGUUGCGGCAAAGAGAAGGAGAAAAGUCCUUGGACGCGCUUGCUAUCCAACAUGGAUCGUUGGAACGUUUAGGUGCUUUCUUUCCUUUGUUUUUCAAUGUUUAAAUUUGUUUAUCUUUGUUUUGUAAUAAUGAGGAACUAAAACCCCCUUAGCUAGGGGGGAAUUCGAAACACAUGUCCUUGCUUGCAAUAUGAUUUAAUUACUUUUAAUUGCGUUUCAUAAGUUAUGAAUUCAAUUUACUUAUCCGUUCGUAUAAAAACUGAUUUAUGUAUGUUGAUUGAGGGUCGACACUUAGUUUGCAUGCAUGAAUUUGAUGCUAGAAUAUAAGGGAGUUUCACCUAAUUGUCAUGAACUUAUAUUCACAAGUAGUGAAGGUUGCUAGUCACAAUCGCGUUAAGUAAAAUCUUGGCAAGAGUAACAUGCGUAUUCCAUAGUUAUGAAUGCCUCGUCAAUGCUUAUGAUUUUCAUAGAACUUAAUGAUUCUUGCUUGUAUCUCUAUUAUGCAAUUCAUGUAGGGAACUUGUGAAGAAUGCUUUGGGUUGUCGUAUGCAAUCAUCCAACUCAAUAAAAGUAGGAAAAUCUGAGGGUUAAUUUAAGCGUACCUAAUUAACUUGGGGCAUUGAGAAUUAAUAAGUUAUUGAAAUGCAAUUGGAAAUCAUUUUGUAUGCAAGCGAGACAUGUGUGGAGAAGAACCCCUUAGCUAGCCUUCCAUCCAUUUAUUUAAACCAAAUUCAUUUUAAAACUUGUUUUGUUUUCCAAAGUUUAUGUUUUGUUUCUAAAUUCAUCAAAUCCAAAUCCCCCUUUACUUUUAAAGUCUUUUAUUUACAUUUAUAACUUUGUUUUUAUGUUUUUUGAGAGGAUUUAGCAAGCCCUCCUAAUCCCCGGCCUAGAACGAUACCCUACUUACACCUAUACUACAAUUGUCAAAAAGAGGGUUUAAUUUGUGUGUCAAGUAAUUCUCACACCAGCUAUCCCCAUUCAAAACCUAAUCCACCUCCCUUUUCCUAACCUUUUUCACUUUUCUCCAUUUUAUUAUCCCAUUUAUACAAAUAAUCAAUUUUGUAACUCCUAAUUAAACCUAAAUUAAACCCAAAAAACCCUAGCCACCUCCUAUCCCUAUAAAUAUACUCUCAUUCUCACCAAAAAAAGCCAAUUCCAACACUUUGGCAAAAAUCCAAAAUACUCUAAACAUUAUUUCUCUCUAAAAUUCUAACUUUGGCAUCAGAGGUUCUUCGGCCAAAGCCCCCCCAUUCAUCGUGGGCGCGUGAGGCUUUUGGCCUUAACCUAAGGUGCUAGUUGUUUUGUAGGUGCAAAAUCUUCCAAGAUUGAGGAGGAGAAAAUUUGCAUCCACAUAAGUGUAUUGACCUACAACCACAAACAUCAUAGCUGCCAUGUGAUGACAAAAAAUGUGUUGAUUGCUAGCUAAAAUAAAUGAACAAUGAACAAGGCAACAUGGAACACACAUGGAUACACAAACACAACAAGAAACAUGGCAACAGUUGGAUGGGCAGAAAAUGGGUGGAUUGUUGGCUGAAAUAAUGAAGAACAUGUGUGUGCAAAUGCAAAGGAAAAACACACACACAUGGGCAAGCAACACACACACAUGGGCAAAGAAAACAGACACGGCAUGGACACAAAUGAAGGCAUGAAUGACAGAAAGAACAUGUGCUUGUAUUGGAAAAAUGGAUAACAUCCAUUGACAAAUUUCCUUCAGAAACACUGGACAAUUGGAAUUGCCAUUAAUUUUCCAUCACAGGUUUCACUUAAACACCCAUCUUUCCCUUAAAUCCAUUGCCAAAACAUCAACUAGAAGUUUUCAUCACCUGAACACAAAAUUUACCAUCUCAUGUACCUCCAACAAUUACAAAUUUACACAAUCACCAUUAAUAUGCAAUUCCUUUUUAGCCAAAACAACUUGGGGAAUCCAAAAUUGACAAACACCCAUUCACACACACACACCACAUUUCACCAACUAAUAACACUUAAGAAUUCAUGAAAGCACACACAUCCACAUUUUUUACCAUUUCAAAACAUCUUGAACCAUUUUGCACACCUUUUCACAGAAUGAACAUUCACCAAUGGACCAUAAGGUUCACACACACAUUCCAGAAAUGGGCACAUUCCACAACAUUCCCAUUUCUUCAAUCCAUUACACUUUACAAAUCCAAAUUCCUUCUUUCACAAUUCAAACACUUUCAAAUGACCUUCCAUUUUCAUUCAAUUCCAUUACAUUCUUUCAUUAUAAUUCAUAACAAACCCACUACACCCACUGAUUACCACAACUCACUACUACACCAUUACUACAACUCCAUACACUCCUCUUCAUAGCCUAUAAACAUACAUCCUUUCAUAAUUUGGGUCUCCAAGACUACAUUCACACCAUUUCAUUUUGAUUGGAAUGAUCCAUUUUUCAUCUAGCCAAAGCAUCUCACCAAUCAUACACUUUCACUCUUUCAUUGCCUCCAUCCAUUCAUGUAGCCAUUACAUCUCACCAUUACACUUACACUUUCAUUCCUUGCAAGCACAUCCAUUCAUCCACAUCCCACAAUCCCAAAACACCAAUUCCAUCAUUCCCAUUUCCCUUCCCUUGGCCGAGACAUUCACCAAUUCCUAAAUACAUUCAUAACCUUUCCAUAUAUCCAUACACAUCCUUAGACACUUGUGCUGCAACAAGGUGGUGAAAACGAAGGUCCUUGGCGUUUCAAGCUUGAAACUUUGGAGCAUUUUAGGUGUACUUUGUUCUUGCUUUCAAUGUCUACUUUGUUAUUUUCUGAUUUUGUUGCAAUUAUGAGUAGCUAAACCCCUAUUUAGUCAGGGGGAAGUUUGAAGCCAUGAACAUGCUUGAGAUAUGAAUUGAUUUCUUCCAAUUGUGAUUUGAUAAGUUGUGAUUGCAAUUCAAUUAUCUAUUUUAUUCAUAACUGAUUCUUGUAUGUUUAUUAAGGAUGCAUACUUAGUUUUCAUGCAUGAAUUAGAUGCUAGAAUAUAAAUGAGUUUCACCUAAUCGUUACAAGUUUAUAUUCAUGAGUAGUGAAGGUUGUUUAUCACAAUCUCGUUAAUUGAAUUCUUGGCAAACGUAUCCUGCAUUCAUAGUUACAAUUGCCUCAUCAACACUUAUGAUUUUCACUAAACGUAAUGAUCUCUGAUUGUAUCUCUAUUAUGCAUUCAUAUAGGGGACUUUUAGAUAAUGAUUUGGGUUGUCGCAUGCAUUAAUCCAAUUCAAUGAGUAAAGGAAAAUUUGAGGGUUAAUUUGUGCAUCACGGUUAAUCUGGGGUGUUAAGCAUCAUAGUUUAUUGAAAAGCAAUUGGAAAUCAAUUCAUGUACAAGUGUGUCAUGUGUGAAGAACGGACCUCUAGCUAAUCCAUCCAUUUCUUAAAUUCACUUUACAAUCUGUCUAAUUUUAUAAGUUGUUUGUUUGUUUUGAAUUCGUUAGAACCAAAAUCCCCCUUUUACUUUGUUGUUUCAAAGUGUUAAAUUUCUAUUUCGUUAGUGUUUUUGAGUGUUUUGAUUCAAACCAAUACACUAAAUUCAUCCAAAGUUGUGUUAGAGUCAAAUCUGCCCAGUAAGUGUUUUUAGGCAAUUUUGAGUGUAUUUAAAUUGUUUUGCGUCUUUAGAAUCUAUUUUGAGUCCCUUGAGUCUAUUCAAACGUUUUUUACUUUGUUUUUAUGUUUUUGAGUAAGUUUAGAGGUUUUAGCAAGCCCUCUUGAUCCCUGGUUUAGAACGAUCCCUACUUGCAUUUAUAUUACAAUUUGACAACAAGAGGGUUUAAUUUAAGUGCUUAACUUUCAUGGCACCAAAUUUUGACGUCGUUGCCGGGGAUUAGCAAUUUUGCUAAUCCCUUGUUAUUUCUUUUUGUUUAUUUUCAUGUGUUUUUGUUCCUAGUUGAUGACUUUACUUGUUUUCUUGUUUUAGGUGGUUUAUGACUCGAAGUUCUCAACCUAUUCAUAAGCACAUCCGUGACUUUGACGACGAUUUUGAACAAACUUUGAGACGAGCAAGGAAUCAACAAGAACCCCAACCAUAUCAACCUGCACCAGAUCUUGGAGAAGACAAAGUAGAAGAGCAAGAGGAGCCCACGGCACAGGUUGUAGAGGAAGAUCCCAACAUGGCAGCGGACAAUCGAACAAUCAAGGAGCUUUCCGCUUCAGGACGGACGAGUUCGAAUUGAAAUCAAGUUUGUUGCAUCACAUUCCUAAGUUCCACGGGAUGUCCAUGGAAGAUCCUAAUAGACACUUGAAAGAGAUUGAGGUUGUUUGCUCGAGUAUGACCCCUGUGAACGUUGAUGGGAGCAUUCUGAAAAUGAAGGCUUUUCCCUUUUCUCUCUUAGAAAAGGCUAAAGAUUGGUUGUAUGAGCUAGCCCCCGGAACUGUCACAUCAUGGGACAGUAUGAAACGGGCAUUUUUGGAGAAGUUUUUCCCAACUUCUCGAGUCAUUCUACUACGCAAAAAGAUUAGUGGCAUUCAGCAAAACCAAGGUGAAUCAUUUCUCACUUAUUAUGAGCGUUUUAAAACCCUUGUUGCUUCAUGUCCACAGCACCAGAUGAAUGAUGAGCUUCUUAUUCAAUAUUUCUAUGAAGGGCUUCUACCAAUCGAACGCCAAAUGCUAGACACCUCAGUGGGAGGAGCUUUGGUGGACAAAACACCCAUGGCUGCCAGGACUUUAAUUGCUAACCGAGCAUUGAAUGCUCAACAAUAUGAAUGCGUUGGUCAAAGGGACACCCCACGGCAGCAAGUGAAUGAGGUAAGUUCCACAUCCGACAUUCAAUCGCAAUUAGCUAAUCUUACUUCCAUUGUGUCUCAGAUGGCCGAAGGAAUGAGGAUGAAAGAACCAAGUGUAUGUGGUGUGUGUUCUAUCCAAGGACAAGCCUCUGAAAAAUGCCCGCAAUUGAUUGAAAAUUGUGGAUGGGAAAGUGCCAAUGCAAUUGGAUUUCAAGGCCAAAACCAGCCAAGGAACGAUCCAUAUUCUAAUACGUACAAUCCAGGUUGGAGUGACCAUCCAAAUUUCAGGUGGAGGGAGCCCCAACAACCCCAAUAACAAGGAGGCUUUAGGCAGCAACCUCUGGGCUUCUAUACCAAGCAAUACGCACCAACACAAGCCCCACAACAACCUGCCAAAAAUACCUCAGGUACAUCUUUAGAUGAUGAGACACUUCUUAAGUUACUCACCAAUUUGUCUCAGGGGCAUGAAAAUCAAGCCAAAGCAAUGCAAAACCAAGGAAAAAAGGUGGACCAAAUGGAGAAGCAAAUUAGGCAGAUUGCGGAGUUUGUAGGAUAGUUCAGAGAGCAAGGUAAGUUGCCUAGUUCAACCAUUGUCAACCCGAGUGGAGGAUUCGAAUCUGCAAAAGCCAUAAGUUUGCGAAGUGGAAAACAAGUUGGAUCUGAUCUCCAACCGUCCAAUUCACAUUCCAAUGAGGUUGAAGAGUUGAUAAUUGAAUAGGAGGAGCAAAGCACCCCCACGAAAAGGGUGGAAACACCUUUGCUGCAGGCCCCAAAAGCUCAUAAACCAUCCAAUUCGGCCAACAAAGGUAAGGAAGUUCCAAUUUUGAUUAAUUAUAAUGUUGUUCUUCCAAUGUACCCUUUCCUCGUAGGUUUAUGCAAUCAAAGAAGGAGGAGGCUAAAAAGGAUAUUUUGGAAACGUUUAGAAAAGUUCAAGUUAAUAUACCACUUUUGGAUGCAAUUAAGCAAGUUCCAAGGUAUGCCAAGUUUUUAAAAGAACUUUGCACAACUAGGAAGAGAAUUUCGAGCAAGAAGGUUUUCAAGGUAAGUGAAAAUGUCUCAGCUGUUUUACAACUUAAACUGCCCACUAAAUGCAAGGAUCCGGGAAGUUUUACCAUUCCUUGUGUAAUUGGUAAUACUCGUUUUGAAUCGGCCAUGUUAGACUUAGGUGCAUCUAUAAAUAUUAUGCCUUAUUCAAUCUAUGCAUCAUGCACUUAGGCGAAUUGAAAAAUGAUGGUGUGAUUAUACAAUUAGCCGAUCGUUCUAAUGCCUAUCCAAAGGGAGUUUUGGAAGAUGUUUUAGUACAGGUCAAUCACUUAAUCUUUCCGGCGGAUUUCUUCCUGCUUGAAAUGGACGAGUCGGACCACUCCCCUACAUUGCCCAUCCUCCUUGGACGGUCAUUCAUGAAAACGGCUCAAACCAAGAUUAAUGUAGCCAAAGGAUCAGUAACUAUGGCAUUUAGUGGUGAUGUGAUUAGCUUUAAUAUUCCUGAAUCUGUUGAGAAUACUAAUGAUGUUCGUUCUUGUUGUGCCAUUGAUGUAAUUGAAAAUAUAGGGCAAAAACGUUCAACACUAGUAAAAAAGAAAGUACCUCGAACCACCAUCGAGAAGGAAAUUGGAGUGAACAACAAGGAGUGCACGACCACACCUUUCAAAACCCCAAUUCUGACCUAGAGCAAUCCUUGUGCAUUUAUUGAUAGUGCUGCCACUUCAUUGCAGCACAUUGGUACGUCACCUAACCCAAUUUCAAUUCCCAUUUCAACUAAUAGGUUGUUACCUUCUAUGAUGCAGGUACCUAAUCGAAUGCAAGGUAGUAGGGAAGUUUACAUCGAUUGUUGGAAGCAACACACCAAAAUCAGGAAAGACUACUAUCCCGUUCCGUUCAAGGAUUCAAUGUGUGAACACUUUGAGGAGCAUUUCGUGGAGAAUGUACCCCUCCAUGCCGUGGGCCUUGUACAAGCUUAAAUGGAGGUAUCGUCCAACUGGAAGAUGUUAAAGCAAGCGCUUCUUGGGAGGCAACCCAUGUAUUCAAAUAAGGAAGAUUUUUGAAUUGCUCCACAAUCAGUUUUGCGUUUCUAAAAACCUUCCUUUUUCUUUUAUUUUGCCAUGAUUGUCAUUUUUAUUUGUUGCUUGUUUAAUUGUUUUUGGUGUGGGUUUAUUUUUGAAACACUGACAGUUAUGCAAGGUAUUUUUACAUUCAUAAAAAAGAAAGGAACAUUAAGCAGAUAAAUACAAGAGAGACCCUUCACAAAGGCUGCUUAGGAGAAAUCUCAGUAGUUGACGGAGCCUCAGCAGUCGACGGAGCCCUAGAAGGAGGAGGCAUCGGAGGUUGAUCAUUUGGAGCUUCAUUACACGGUACAGCCCUAGAAGACGAAGGCAAAUGCUGUUGGAACAAACCCACAAACCUCUGAUGAUCAAGUAAAAUCUGACCAUCAGAUUCUUGCAUCUGGUCAAUCUUCUUCUUCAUGUUUGUAGCAUAGUUAUGUGCGAGCUUGUGCAACUGUUAAUUCUCAUGCUUAAGCCCUCUAAUCUCCUAUUUGAGACUCAUCACUUCAGCCGCCAAUGAUUCAACUUGACGGGUUUGGACAAAUAGGCGUUGGGCUAUAUUAGAUACGGAACCUGCGCACUGUACACUGAGAACCAGAGAAUCUUUAACAGCCAACUCAUCAGACCGUUUGGCAAGUAGUCUGUUAUCUUUGGGAGUGACAAGGUUCCUGGCCACCAUCGCAGCUGUUAUAUCAUUCUUCAUCACCGAAUCCCCAACGGUAAAGGGACCAGUAGGGGAUAUGAAGGAUGGGCGCCAUAUGUUGUCUGGAGAAGGCGGCACUGCCUCUUCAACAAGGUUCAAGUCAAAACGACGGUCGGAGGGGCCAGACAUUUUCAGAGGUGUUAAAGAAAGAAGGUCGGACAAGUCAAGAUCGUAGAAGUGCAAGAAAUGAGAUUCUACAGGCAGAAAUUCAAGUGUGCUUUGAACAUCUUGCGUACCUCUAUAAAAAUCAGCACUCGAUGGGAUUUCAGAUAUCGAAGAGGUGAGUUCAGAAAUCGAAGAGGCCAACUCAAAAAUCAAAGAGGCGCUAGCUUUCUCAAAAGUUGGGCUUGCUUAGAAACCACGGCCAAUCUUCUUUUCUAGAUUUGUCCGCACUUGUCACAUGUAACCUCUGCACUCGACGGGAUUUCAGAGAUCGAAGAGGCAAUUCCAGAUAUCGGAGAAGCAUCUGCUUUUCCAAACGUGUUAGCAUAUGUCACAUGCAAAGUAAGCUUUGCGGAAAUCAUGGGCAGUUUGUCGAAGCGCCGAUUCCAACCAUCUGCUUUUCCAAACGUAUCAGCAUCUGUCACAUACAGAGUCACUUUGCGAAAAUCACGGGCAGUUUGUCGGAGUGUUUUUCCAGACGUGUCAACAUCUGUCACAUGCAGAGUCAGCUUUGCGGAAAUCACGGGCAGUUUGUCGAAGCGCCGAUUCCAGAUAUCGAAGAGCCACUUGCUUUUCCAGAUGUGUCAGCGCCUGUCACAUGCACAGUCAGCUUUGCGAAAAUUACGGGCAAUCUGUCGAAGAUCUCUUGUGAAGUAGAAAACACAUGAAGUUUACUAUUAAAUCAUCCAACGGUUGCUGACAAGAGUGAAAGAAUAGUACCGGUUAUUAAUUCCUAUAAAUAUCACCCUUCACCCUCCAUUGCAAGGCAAACAUACAUAACUCUUCUUCUUCUCCGAGAAUGCCUUUCCAACAAACCCUCUCGAGUCACUCAGUGUUCCUUAUUCCUUGGGGUACCUCUGCAAACAACUCAUCCAAAGCAAAAGUAUUUCAUAUCAUGAAGGUUGAAAGCAAGAGUAUCUCAUAUCAUGCUUUCUCCCUGUCCUUCUCCUUGUCGUUGUUUUGGGACAAUGAGAAAGAGAACAAUCAGCCAGCACUUGGUAUCAAUCUUCCGAUCUGGAACUGACUGCCUGGAACCCCUUCCUAAUUGCUUACCUAGCCUUGCUCUCGAGUACUCAUCUUCAUCAUUUUAUGCUUCCUCUUCGUCUACCACAUCUGCCUGGGGAACAUAUAAGGGAAGUGAAAAUGAUACCUUGAAGCAUGUGGAGACAAUUUUCCAAUUCAUCCUCAGCUAGGGACAAGGAGAAAGAAAGCAAGAGGUGGGCACUUGGAAAGAUUAAAGAAAGAAACAGACCAACACCUCUACCUCGUGCCUGUUUGCCGUGCAGAAGAAACAAGCAAAGAAGAAUGCAGACUGCACAAUCAAAUUAACCCAGCAAAAGGAGUCUGAAUUGAAACCAAGGAACUCUCAUAUUCCUCGCUCAGAAUUCCAAACCAGUUCGAGAUCAAAGCUGUGGAAAGACAACAAGAUCAUCUAUCUCCAAAACCAGAUUUGCGUUCUUAAACUCUACUCUGUCUAGUUUUUACUUUGCCAUACUUGUCAUGUUUAUUCGUUGUUUGUUUGUUUGCUUGUUUUUUGUGUGAGUUUAUGUUUGAAACAUUGGGGACAAUGUUUGAUUUAAGUGUGUGAAGGGGGGUAACCAUUGUUUUGCAUGAAAUUCGUAGGAGUUUAUCACCCAUUACUUCUAGUGUUGUUCCUUGUUAUUUUAAGUGUUUUUAAGCUGUUUUGAAGUGUUUCAGUGUGUUUUGACUUAAAAAUCCAAAAAUCUCAUAAAAAUUUGAAAAAUUGUUUUGAAAAACCCAGAAAGAGUUGUUUUUGUAUGUUUAUUUGUGUCUUAGGAUACCUUCCAACACAAUGAUGAGGAUUUGAUUUUUAAUUACAUGACUGUUAAAGAGAGUUAUAAACAUGGAUGAAAAUUUGAUUUACUCUUUGGUGUAUGCUUGGUUGUGGUUAUAAUUUAUGAAUUCACAUGCAAUCAUAAAGGAAAAAUCAGUUUUGUAACAUGCUUGAAAGAAGGAACUCAAAUGUACGUUACAACCUUGUGAGACUUGAGCCUAAACGUUUAUUUGGAGAGUUAAUAAUAUGUGCAUCAUUGUUUUCUAAAGUCGUUGCAUGAUCUUAUUAUUCUUUGCUUGGUUGCUACUUAGAAGGCGUUUCAUCAUUUAAUUCCAAAUGCUAAAAAUCAUGCCAAUUUCAUUCAAAGCAUGCUAUUGAUUUGCAUAAUACAUAUUCAAGAUGAAGUUGUGUAGUGACCACCACAGCCAAAUUGCCGUGCCCUAUUUCAUUAUGUGUUUAAGUUUAACCACGUUGAGCCUUGUGUAACCUAUGUUCUUUGUUAACCCACACUAUCCUCACCUAGCCUAGAUUAGGACCAUCCAUACCCUUGUUCUUGAAGCAUAGUAAAACAUAAUUUAGAAGGAAUUCCUUUUGUUGAACUUUUGCAGAAAAACAAGUGUGGGGGAAGUGAUUCUUGUGUGUGUGUGUGCGCGCCAAAGUCCUUAAUAAGGCACGGGUAGAAAAGAAAAAGAAAAAAAAAAGAAACAUUCGUGGAAAAUAGAAUGAAAAGAAGAAAAGUUGUAAAAAAGAGCUCUAAAGUGUUGUUUGUUGAAGAAAGGGUCCAAAACAUGGAAUUCGGCCCUAAGUGUUGCUUGAAUCUUCCCGUUGUGUUUAAAAGUUAAUUUCUGCAUUAUUAAGUGAAUUCCAAGCAUCUAUUUCAUUACUUUGCUUACUAUUGCUUUCAAAACGUUUUUUAUCCUUAUCCUUUUUUUGUUAGCCAUUACCCUUAAACCCCGUUACAACCCUUAACUUCAUCUUGAGUGUUAUGCGUUUCAAUUUGUGGAGUUCGAAAUUGGUAUGAGCAUAUGGUGUCACUGGUUCUCGCAUCUAAGUAGUAGCAUUCCAUUCAUGAGAUCAUAUCUAAACAUGCUUAAUAACUCUAGAAAAUUGCUUUCUUUGUUAUAACAUAUGUGAGUCCUAGUCUUUCAUGUUUACAUCAAUCUUCUCACAUAUACCUAGUCUAAGGAGUGUAGUCAGAAAUUCUUGUGUGAAAAUAAGAGUGUAUCUAGUAAGGAAUUGAGGAAAUUCUCUAAGGCAUGUUACUAUAUUCAAAAUGUUGUUUUAAUUGAUUAAAUGUGAGCUAGUGAAUGGUGACUAUGAUUAAGUAUGCUCGAGGGUAAGGAAUGCUUAAAUCUAUGUAAGUGGUGAUCUUUGGCAUGUCAUGUUUCAUUGAAAAUCCCUGAGGCAAAUGUUGGAAGGUUCGGUUAUGUUUUGUUUGUUUUGUUUCGUUUUGUUUCUUUUAUUUUGCUCAAGGACUAGCAAAAGCUAAGUGUGGGGGAAUUUGAUAGGAGCAUAUUUAUGUGACUUAGUUAGCUCGUUCUUGUGCAUUCAUGUUGUUAUUUCUUAGUUAAUUAUGUAUUUUAAGCUAUUUUCGUGUGUUUGUAGGUCCUAAUAACAAAGUUGGCAAGAAAGUGCAUUUUGGUGCAUUUUGGUGCAUUUUGGAGCAUUUUUUUAGCCAAGAUUGCAUAGUGCAAGUAUGGAGACAUGAGGAUGGAUGUUUUUGAAGAUUAGAAGGUUAGAAAUCAGCAUGUGUGUGUGUAAGUGUAUUGACCUACAACCACAAACAUCAUAGCUGCCAUGUGAUGACAGAAAAUGUGUUGAUUGCUAGUUAAAAUAAUGAAGAUGAACAAGGCACAUGGAAGAAACAUGGACAUCACACACACAACAAGAAAGGCACGGCAUGGACAGUUGGUAUGGGCAGAAAAUGGGUGGAUUGUUGGCUGAAAUAAUGAAGAACAUGUGGGUGCAAAUGCAAAGGAAAAACACACACACAUGGGCAAAGGAAAGACACACACAUGGGCAAAGAGAAACACACGGCAUGGACAGCUUGGAGGGCAUGAAAAUGGGUGGAUUUGUGGCUGAAAUGAUGAAGAACAUGUGUGUGCAUUUGUAAAGGGAAACAUGGACAGCCACAUUCACACAUUCAUUCCCACAUUCACUUACACAAAUCAGCCAUUUUUCCCUUCCCCUUGCCGUGACCUACACAUUCAUCCGCCCACUACACCCAUUACAUCCACUCAUUACCACAACACUCACCUACUACACCCAUUACAUCCACUCAUUACAACUCCAUACACUCCUCUCCCUAGCCUAUAAAUACAUCUAUCCUUCACCAUAAUUUUGGGGAUCCAUCCAAGAAGCUACAUUCACAAACACUUUCAUCCCUUUCCUUGCCGUGACCUCCAUCCAUUCAUCUAGUCACACUACAUCUCACCAAUCCAUACACUUUCAUCUCUUUGCCGUGACCUCCAUCCAUUCAUCUAGCCAUACUACAUCUCACCAAUCCAUACACUUACACUUUCAUUCCUUGGCCGUGAGCACUAUCCAUUUCAUCCAUAUAUUCCCACAAUUCACAAACCAUUCUACACAUCCAUAAAUCCCAAAACACAAUUCCAUACAUUCCCUUCCCUUGGCCGAGACAUUCACCAAUCCUAAAUACAUUCAUAACCUUUCCAUAUAUCCAUACACAUCCUUAGACACUUGUGCUGCAACAAGGUGGUGAAAACGAAGGUCCUUGGCGUUUCAAGCUUGAAACUUUGGAGCAUUUUAGGUGUACUUCGUUCUUGCUUUCAAUGUCUACUUUGUUAUUUUCUGAUUUUGUUGCAAUUAUGAGUAGCUAAACCCUUAUUUAGUGAGGGGGAAGUUUGAAGCCAUGAACAUGCUUGAGAUAUGAAUUGAUUUCUUCCAAUUGUGAUUUGAUAAGUUGUGAUUGCAAUUCAAUUAUCUAUUUUAUUCAUAACUGAUUCUUGUAUGUAUAUUAAGGAUGCAUACUUAGUUUUCAUUCAUGAAUUAGAUGCUAGAAUAUAAAUGAGUUUCACCUAAUUGUUACAAGUUUAUAUUCAUGAGUAGUAAAGGUUGCUUGUCACAAUCGCGUUAAUUGAAUUCUUGGCAAACGUAUCAUGCAUUCAUAGUUACAAUUGUCUCGUCAACACUUAUGAUUUUCACUAAACGUAACGAUCUCUGAUUGUAUCUCUAUUAUGUAUUCAUAUAGGGGACUUUUAGAGAAUGAUUUGGGUUGUCGCAUGCAUUCAUCCAAUUCAAUGAGUAAAGGAAAAUCUGAGGGUUAAUUUGUGCAUCACGGUUAAUAUGGGGUGUUGAGCAUCAUAGUUUAUUGAAAAGCAAUUGGAAAUCAAUUCAUGUACAAGUGUGUCAUGUGUGAAGAACGGACCUCUAACUAAUCCAUCCGUUUCUUAAUUUCGCUUUACAAUCUGUCUAAUUUUAUAAGUUGUUUGUUUGUUUCGAAUUCGUCAGAACCAAAAUCCCCCUUUUACUUUGUUGUUUCAAAGUGUUAAAUUUCUAUUUCGUUAGUGUUUUUGAGUGUUUUGAUUCAAACCAAUACACUAAAUUCAUCCAAAGUUGUGUUAGAGUCAAAUCUGCCCAGUAAGUGUUUUUAGGCAAUUUUGAUUGUAUUUAAAUUGUUUUGCGUCUUUAGAACCUAUUUUGAGUCCCUUGAGUCUAUUCAAACGUUUUUAACUUUGUUUUUAUGUUUUUGAGUAAGUUUAGAGGUUUUAGCAAGCCCUCUUGAUCUCUGGUUUAGAACGAUCCCUACUUGCAUUUAUACUACAAUUUGAUAACAAAAGAGUUUAAUUUGAGUGCUUAACUUUCAUGGCACCAGGACCCAAUUGAGAAAUCAACCUUGGGUUAAAAGUUAAGGCCUUCCAACCCAAAAUAUCCUUUUUUCAGCCAAACUUUGCAUUUUAGGCCCAAACAGAAACAAAUAAAUACACUUCAUGGUUUGAAAUCUAUGCUACUGGUUUAUUUAUACUAAAAAAUUGCCACCUCUAACAUGUGGAUACAUGUCUAAGCAUUUUAUCUAACAAUGUUGUGUUUUAAUAAAAGGGAGACCUCAUUUUUGUAAUUUACAUUUAGGGCUCAUUUGGAAGUGUUUUUGAAAUUACUGAAACCACUUUUAAAGAAAAUAUUUUUAUGUUCCAAAAGCACUUGAAAUUGUGUUUUUGCAUGAAUAACUUCAAAUACUAUUUCAGAAUUCAUUUGCAUAUUUACCAAUGAUUGGCUUCUAAAAUAUUUUCACAUAAAGCACUUCACCCAUUUUUAAAACAUUUCUAUACAUGACCUUAAACUAUCUCUCUAAUUAAAGUAGGGUCCACAACACAGUAGUAGAUCUCAUCUCUACUGGAUAUAUAGUUUAGAUAUGGAUUACAAUAUGUGAUAUCCUAGUAUUUUCCUUAAUAAACUAGCUAACGGCCCACAUAGUAUAGAGGUGUACUAUCUACACAUCCAUUUUUACUUUUUACACACUUUUCUAAUUUAUAGUCCAUUAAGAUUAAUGUUUGUUUUAGUUUUCUUUAUAAAUAGGAUGUGAUUAGUAACUUUGUAGAAUAAUAAGUCGGAUAAAAUGUGAGGAAAACUGAUAAAAAAGGCUUGAAAACUUUGAGUUUUAAAUAUAAGAAC
RNAcentral lists this long non-coding RNA (25477 nucleotides) under Malus domestica (apple). Its description in RNAcentral is "long non-coding RNA (MDOM_LNC017675)". Lineage: Eukaryota; Viridiplantae; Streptophyta; Magnoliopsida; Rosales; Rosaceae. The record is from RNAcentral.